CGUGACGAAUGUCGCGUUCAAUCCCUCCACGGCGUUCCCCGCGGGAAGAUCUGAGGCUGGUUUGCCGAUCGGCUUGCAGGCCGUGGGCGCUGAGUAUGCAGAUUACACCACGAUCAGAUUCGCUGAGUGCUUGGCCAGAGAAGCUCCAGAUCUGU
Molecule: non-coding RNA, 155 nt
Filed under: Scrippsiella hangoei
Lineage: Eukaryota; Dinophyceae; Peridiniales; Peridiniaceae
Source: RNAcentral